CCGCCCGGAUGGUCUAGUGGUAUGAUUCUCCGUUUGGGUUCACAUCUCAAAUUCGGAGAGGCCGCGUGUUCGAAUCGCGCUUCGGGCCC
This 89-nucleotide transfer RNA is filed under the name Penicillium nalgiovense. RNAcentral describes it as "tRNA-Pro". It matches the Rfam family "tRNA". From Rfam's summary of the family: Transfer RNA (tRNA) molecules are approximately 80 nucleotides in length. The record is from RNAcentral. Lineage: Eukaryota; Fungi; Ascomycota; Eurotiomycetes; Eurotiales; Aspergillaceae.